This 2216-nucleotide long non-coding RNA is filed under the name Podarcis lilfordi (Lilford's wall lizard). Lineage: Eukaryota; Metazoa; Chordata; Lepidosauria; Squamata; Lacertidae. The record is from RNAcentral.
GGGGCCUGGUCAGCCAGAGGGACUACGAGGCGGAGGGCUAGGAGGUGGUGGUGCUGGGGGCGCCCUUGCAGGACCAGGCAAGCCGCAGCUCGGCGGGUGCGUCAGCAAACAGCAAUAUUCCUCUGAAGAACUGGGAGAGAGACGUUCUGGAUGGCACUUCUUCAAGCUGAAUGCUUCUGAGCUUAUGCAUGUAUAAAACCAGAGAGAACAGUGUUCCUGAGCAUGUGCAGAAUGUAUUUACUUUGUGAUUCGGAGUGCUCCUUCAACUGUUAGCUGUAUGUUGUUGCUUUUGGAUACUGUUGUUAUAUCUUUCUUUUUGUUGUAAUGCAUGCAGUCUAAUAUGGUAGGAGGUAUAGAAAUGUUUUAAUAAAUAGUAAGUAAAGUGUUCAGAGGCUCCCUGCCUUGUGGAGUUAGGUGGUGCCCUCUCUUACCUGAGAGGAGAUCACAGGUGGUUGUCUCAUGAGUGGCAGCUAGACUGGUGACUGGGAGUGGCCACUGAGACCAUAUAACACCGGUCUUGAAAGACCUACACUGGUUUCCGAUUCCCAAUUCAAAGUGUUGGUGCUGACCUUUAAAGCCCUAAACGGCCUCGGUCCAGUAUACCUGAAGGAACGUCUCCAUCUCCAUCAUUCUGCCCAGACACCGAGGUCCAGCGCCGAGGGCCUUCUGGCGGUUCCCUCACUGCAAGAAGCCAAGUUACAGGGAACCCGGCACAGGGCCUUCUCGGUAGUGGCACCCGCCCUGUGGAACGCCCUCCCACCAGAUGUCAAAGAGAAAAAUAACUACCAAACUUUUAGAAGACAUCUGAAGGCAGCCCUGUUUAGGGAAGCAUCUAAUGUUUAAUAGGUUAUUGUAUUUUAGUGUUUUAUUGGAAACCGCCCAGAGUGGCUGGGGAAACCCAGCCAGAUGGGCAAGGUAUAAAUAAUAAAUUAUUAUUAUUAGCGGAUGAGGCUUGGCCCCUACUUCUGGGCUGUAGGACUAGCAGGGCAGCUGGGAAAACUUAACUGCCUGGCCCAUUGGGACACUUUCCCCAGGUCACAAAACCCUCCCUGGCCCAGCAUCACACUCACCUCAAAAAAAUGUGCCCAGCUAGAAUAUGACCUUCAUCAAUUAUCAUACUUCUUGCUUGCCUUAAUGGAGAACAGAGGGUGUAUGGUUGUGAAAAAGCUAGCCUAGAGUGCAAAAGUAAAAUUCCCAUUGCUUGCCCAGCCAAAUGUUUGCUUCUGAUCACAGCUACCUUUGCCUCUGGCCCUACCCAACAAAGGCCCCUGGAAGCUUACCCAGAAUUGAAUGCAGCUGUCUUACUGAAAAAUGUUUCCCUGCCUUUGCUGUAAAAUUGUUCUCAGCUCCUCUCCGAGAUAAUCUUUUCUAGUCCAGAACAUCAUGUGGCUCUGCAAUGUGCAUUACAGCACAGCCACACCCCCAUGUGACACAUAAGUGUGGUAUGACUGCAAAUAACAUACACAUCAAGAAUGGCUUGAGUGGAUUUUUUUUUAUAUACUGUACCAGCAAUUGACUCAAGAAUGGAAAGCAGAAGGUAGGCGUGAACUGACAGUUCUCACACUGUCUGGGAAUUAAGCAUAAGAAGAGCUCUGCUGGAUCAGGCCAAUGGCCCAUCUAAUCCAGCAUCCUGUUCUCACAGUGGUCCACCAGAUGCCUGUUAUAAGAAUUUUAAGGUCUUAUAUAUAUAAAAUAGAUGUUCGUAAAUGUACCAAGCAAACACAUACAAAUAUGUAAACCACAUGUCUGAAACCCACAGAAAAGUCCUGAAACCAUUUUUUUCUCUCCCAAAAUGACCUCAAAUAUUUCUCUGCAAGGUCGACGGAAAUGGGAAAUCUCCCCAUUGUCUCUCUCACAAAUCCUGUCUUAAGGUCACAUUUAAGAUAUGAAUAGUAUGUGAGCCUGUGACCUGUGACCUGGAUUCAGGAGCUGAGUAACAAAAGAGUGGCCAGGAUGCCCCGGUAAUUCAGUCAAGCAACCUAGCAAACAAGAGAAAAAAACAAUGCCCUCAGAUUUCUGUGGUAGUCCGCUCUUUCUGUGAUGUAUGUAUGAUGUUUCUGGGGGUGGUCUUGGACUCCAGAGCAGGCAAUUUAAAAUGUCUAUAUAAGAACUUGCAUGCAUGAUUUAGGGUCCCUCCCCCCGCCUUGUGUGUGUUGGGGAGCACCCUGUUGCAACAGCUUUAAUAAAGAUCAGGCUUACUUGCUGCUUUGCUUCUC